GCCAGGUGCAAUGGACAUUCCUGUAGUUUCAGCUACUCAAGAGGCUGAGGCAGGAGGAUCACUCGAGUCCAAGAGAUCUGGGCUGUAGUGUACUCUGCCAGUCAAAUACCUGCACUAAGUUUGGCAUCAGUAUGGCGACGUCUGUGAUGUGGGGGACCACCAGGUUGCCUAAGGAGGAAUUAACCAGCCCAGGUUAGAAACAGAGCAGGUCAAAUUUUUGUGAUGAUCAGUAGUGGGAUUAUGCCUGUGAAUAGUCACUGCACUCCAGUUUGGGCAACAUAGCAAGACCUCAUCUCUA
Macaca fascicularis (crab-eating macaque) is the source of this 298-nucleotide unclassified non-coding RNA. It matches the Rfam family "Metazoan signal recognition particle RNA". Rfam says of the family: The signal recognition particle (SRP) is a universally conserved ribonucleoprotein. It is involved in the co-translational targeting of proteins to membranes. The record is from Ensembl. Lineage: Eukaryota; Metazoa; Chordata; Mammalia; Primates; Cercopithecidae.